This 72-nucleotide transfer RNA is filed under the name Trichonephila clavata. Its description in RNAcentral is "tRNA-Asn". It matches the Rfam family "tRNA". Rfam says of the family: Transfer RNA (tRNA) molecules are approximately 80 nucleotides in length. Their secondary structure includes four short double-helical elements and three loops (D, anti-codon, and T loops). Further hydrogen bonds mediate the characteristic L-shaped molecular structure. tRNAs have two regions of fundamental functional importance: the anti-codon, which is responsible for specific mRNA codon recognition, and the 3' end, to which the tRNAs corresponding amino acid is attached (by aminoacyl-tRNA synthetases). tRNAs cope with the degeneracy of the genetic code in two manners: having more than one tRNA (with a specific anti-codon) for a particular amino acid; and 'wobble' base-pairing, i.e. permitting non-standard base-pairing at the 3rd anti-codon position. The record is from RNAcentral. Lineage: Eukaryota; Metazoa; Arthropoda; Arachnida; Araneae; Nephilidae.
GCCUCCGUGGCGCAAUCGGCUAGCGCGUUCGGCUGUUAACCGAAAGGUUGGGUUCGAGCCCACCGGGGCGUG